UAGGAAGUGGCCAGAGCCAACGGAUGACCCACUCUAGGACAAGUGAUAAGCUUGUGCUGCAGGAUAAAGUGUUAACAUCAGUGUGGCCAAGGUCAAAAGGCAGGAGGAGGCAGAGGGAGGUUUGACUACAGAAGAAAAGAAGGCAGUGUGACCAUGGGAGUAGAGGUUGAGGUGAUGCAGCCACAAUUAAAAAAUUCCAGCAAUCUCAAGAAGCUGGAAGAGGCAAGAAUAAGAUUGUCCCCUACAGCAUUCAGAAGGAGCCAGCCCUGCCAACACCGUGACUUUAGCCCAACGAGACCCACUUCCGACGUCUGACUCCAGAACUCAUAGCAAAAAUUGAUUAGCAAACAGACCUGACUUCUACAGCUGAAGCCUUCUCUUUUUCCAAGACCAAAACCCAGUAAAUGAACGGCAUCACAAUCUCUGAGCCAUGGAGCACAUUUUCCCGCCCUUUGCUUCCAGAAGAAAAAUAUUUAGAGGCUGAUCUUCGGGAAACUUUCUCUUGGCAGGUGCAGUCUAGCUUACAAAACAGGAAAAUCAUUCACUGGAGAAUUUGCAUAUGGAAUACAGAUACAUUGCAUGGAAAGAAAGCCAACCUGGAGAUUGACAGGCAGCUGUGGUGUGAAUGCCUCAUGAUGGUGAAAGUCAGGAUGGUGGAUGGAUGCUGCACUGCUUUGUUGAUGCAGUUAUGAACAUUAUUGGGCAAUAUGCAUAUGCAAGUGUGGUCCACAUUCAGCACAUUUACCUUGUGUAACCUACACAGGUUCAGUAAAGAGAUUUGUAAGACCAUGGUAUUCCCCCCUGGUAGACCCAAAUGCUCACUUUCAGCUCAGUUUUAUCACAGAGGCUGAGGGAAUAAUAUCUUUAGCUUUUAAUAGCA
Long non-coding RNA from Symphalangus syndactylus (siamang), 880 nucleotides. RefSeq lists it as uncharacterized. NCBI's taxonomy places the organism in Eukaryota, Metazoa, Chordata, Mammalia, Primates, Hylobatidae. The record is from RefSeq and is a predicted model, not a curated record.